RNAcentral lists this unclassified non-coding RNA (432 nucleotides) under soil metagenome. RNAcentral's name for it is "partial contains 5.8S ribosomal RNA, internal transcribed spacer 2, and large subunit ribosomal RNA". The stretch from base 1 to 120 matches the Rfam family "5.8S ribosomal RNA", at positions 35 to 154 of the family's 154-position model. The record is from RNAcentral.
GAUGAAGAACGUAGCGAAAUGCGAUACGUAAUGUGAAUUGCAGAAUUCAGUGAAUCAUCGAAUCUUUGAACGCAUAUUGCGCUCUCUGGUAUUCCGGAGAGCAUGCUUGUUUGAGUAUCAGUAAACACCUCAACUUCCAUAUCUUUUUUGAAAUGGGAGUUGGACUUGAGUGAUCCCAACGCUUUUCCUCACCGAAAAGUGGCGGGUUACUUGAAAUGCAGGUGCAGCUGGACUUUUCUCUGAGCUAUAAGCAUAUCUAUUUAGUCUGCCUAAAAAACAGAUUAUUACCUUUGCUGCAGCUAACAUAAAGGAGAUUAGUUCUUGUGCUGACUGAUGCAGGAUUCACAAAGACAGGCUUCGGCCGACUUUGUAAACUCGAUCUCAAAUCAAGUAAGACUACCCGCUGAACUUAAGCAUAUCAAUAACGGAGGA